This 247-nucleotide long non-coding RNA is filed under the name Homo sapiens (human). RNAcentral describes it as "non-protein coding lnc-EMP2-4:1". The record is from RNAcentral. Lineage: Eukaryota; Metazoa; Chordata; Mammalia; Primates; Hominidae.
AGAUUCCUCCAACUUCAUGGGAACAGGAAGGUUAACAUCCCUGGGGAGGGGACCUGCAGUGGGGACUCUGGGGAAGCCCCUCAGAGCUUGGGGGAUGGGCAGAGAGAUGCCAGCUCUGUGCAUGUGUGCGUCUCUGCCUGUGUAUAUAAGAGAUUGUUCUACCUGACCUGGAGAGGGAGGGUGUGUGUGUGUGUCUCUGCCUGUGUAUAUAAGGGAUCGCUCUACCUGGCCUGGAGGGUGUGUGUGU